UAUUGUUGUUUUAUUUUUUGCUAGAGGCUAACUAUAGUAUUAGACAAUGCUAAUUUCACUGCUUAGUUUCUUGUACUUGUGUUGCAGACUGCGAGAUGAAGAGGGUCAUAUAAUUGAGAACACUCAGCCAAUAUGUUGUCCAUGUGGGCCCCAGCGGCGGAUGCCUUCAUCAUGUGGAAACUUCUUUGACAAAGUAACAAAAGGAAAGGCCAACAC
This is a non-coding RNA of Cajanus cajan (pigeon pea), 216 nucleotides long. The record is from RefSeq and is a predicted model, not a curated record. Lineage: Eukaryota; Viridiplantae; Streptophyta; Magnoliopsida; Fabales; Fabaceae.